UGCGCAGGUGGGCUUGUAAGUCAGUGGUGAAAUCUUGCCGCUUAACGGUAAAAUUGCCAUUGAUACUGCAAGUCUUGAGUAUGGUUGAGGUAGGUGGAAUGUGUUGUGUAGCGGUGAAAUGCAUAGAUAUGACACAGAACGCCGAUUGCGAAGGCAACUUACUGAGCCAUUACUGACGCUGAGGCACGAAAGCGUGGGGAGCGAACAGGAUUAGAUACCCUGGUAGUCC
RNAcentral lists this ribosomal RNA (229 nucleotides) under uncultured bacterium. Its description in RNAcentral is "partial 16S ribosomal RNA". It matches the Rfam family "Bacterial small subunit ribosomal RNA", at positions 568 to 796 of the family's 1533-position model. The record is from RNAcentral.